Molecule: ribosomal RNA, 372 nt
Filed under: uncultured organism
Description: bacterial SSU rRNA
Rfam family: Bacterial small subunit ribosomal RNA
Source: RNAcentral
CGUAGGGUGCGAGCGUUAAUCGGAAUUACUGGGCGUAAAGUGUGCGCAGGCGGCCGCGCAAGUCGAGUGUGAAAUCCCCGAGCUUAACUUGGGAAUUGCGCUCGAAACUACGUGGCUGGAGUGUGGCAGAGGAAGGUGGAAUUCCACGUGUAGCGGUGAAAUGCGUAGAUAUGUGGAGGAACACCGAUGGCGAAGGCAGCCUUCUGGGCCAACACUGACGCUCAUGCACGAAAGCGUGGGGAGCAAACAGGAUUAGAUACCCUGGUAGUCCACGCCCUAAACGAUGAUGACUAGUUGUUGGAGGAGUUAAAUCCUUUAGUAACGUAGCUAACGCGUGAAGUCAUCCGCCUGGGGAGUACGGUCGCAAGAUUA